AUUGAACGCUGGCGGCAUGCCUUACACAUGCAAGUCGAACGGCAGCGCGGACUUCGGUCUGGCGGCGAGUGGCGAACGGGUGAGUAAUACAUCGGAACGUACCCUGUUGUGGGGGAUAACUAGUCGAAAGAUUAGCUAAUACCGCAUACGACCUGAGGGUGAAAGUGGGGGACCGCAAGGCCUCACGCAGCAGGAGCGGCCGAUGUCUGAUUAGCUAGUUGGUGGGGUAAAGGCCCACCAAGGCGACGAUCAGUAGCUGGUCUGAGAGAACGAUCAGCCACACUGGGACUGAGACACGGCCCAGACUCCUACGGGAGGCAGCAGUGGGGAAUUUUGGACAAUGGGGGCAACCCUGAUCCAGCAAUGCCGCGUGUGUGAAGAAGGCCUUCGGGUUGUAAAGCACUUUUGUCCGGAAAGAAAUCGCGCUGGUUAAUACCUAGCGUGGAUGACGGUACCGGAAGAAUAAGCACCGGCUAACUCUGUGCCAGCCGCCGCAGUAA
RNAcentral lists this ribosomal RNA (500 nucleotides) under uncultured bacterium. RNAcentral describes it as "partial 16S ribosomal RNA". It matches the Rfam family "Bacterial small subunit ribosomal RNA", at positions 30 to 523 of the family's 1533-position model. The record is from RNAcentral.